GACAUUUCAACUCCAGCCACCAGUGACUUUAACUGUCACUUUUCUGUCAUGCAGCUGACUACAUGUGUAAGCUGUUCAAACUCUGGCUGUCCUUAUCAUUCAAGACUGUGUGUUAUGAGGACUGCUUCCCUGAGAAUGCUGAGUGCAUUCUGGAAUAUUCCAAAUGUGUGCCACUUCCAUACGGACGCCCGCAAGAGAGUUCACUCAUCAGGUCAAAGUUGGUCUGUCCUGAUGGCACUACCUGCUGCUUGAUGAUGUCUAGUAGCCAUCGCUGCUGCCUUCAA
Long non-coding RNA from Alosa alosa (allis shad), 284 nucleotides. RefSeq lists it as uncharacterized. Lineage: Eukaryota; Metazoa; Chordata; Actinopteri; Clupeiformes; Clupeidae. The record is from RefSeq and is a predicted model, not a curated record. The transcript is spliced from 3 exons.